Molecule: non-coding RNA, 433 nt
Organism: Delphinapterus leucas (beluga whale)
Lineage: Eukaryota; Metazoa; Chordata; Mammalia; Artiodactyla; Monodontidae
Source: RefSeq, a predicted model, not a curated record
CUGAGCACGAGCCCUGUGCCUUGUGGUCCCUCGACUUGCCUGGCCCUGGGGUGCUUCCUGUCUCAUCUCUCUGGCCUCAACUGGAGGAUGCAGCUCCAGUUGAGAGUCAAAAAGUGGAUGACACUUGCUCCGGACGUAGCUGAAAGGAUGCAGGCGUGAGAGCUUCUCCUCCGAUGAACAACCAGGCUAAGGAUAAGCUGUUGUUGGAAGCCCCUCUGGUUCCAGGAGUGAUGAAGCACUGUGGGCGGCACCAUCUGAGUUCCAUGGGAGAGCUGGGUGCUGCGCACAGCUGGCCUCCACCCUCAGGGCCAGGAAGCCAAGUGCAGGACCCCUUCCAGGGAAAGAGCCUUGAAUCCCCAGCACCUACUUGCCUCCUUGCUUUCCCUCCCCUCUUUGCCCACACUUAAAAAUAAAGAUAGGAACGAAUUUCUUA